ACACUGUAAAAAAAAAUCCGUAAAAAUACAGUACAAUCUACUGUAUAAACGUGAAGGAAUUUUCCGUAUUAGUCAUUUACAGGUAUUUUUCUGUAUUUCUGAACUACUGCAAUGCAUUGUGGGAAAAAGAAACCGAAAAGGAGGGAAAAGUCAGAGCAAGAGCAGCCAUUAGACUUCUUUCAGGCUUCAUCUGGAUUUUGGACUCUGGAGUUGGAGAAACUGCCUUCAAAUUUCUGUGUGCAGAGCAAUGGCCAAGAAAAGGAAAGACUUCCCCGAGUGAAAAAAAAGAUGAAGAUACAAGCUGGUGAUGAUCCAGAGCAGCUGGUCUCAGGAAAUGAAGAAAAACCCUGAUCACAUUUUCCACAGAAACAAGACUAAAUUGCGACUAGUCUCAAUGGCUGAGAUGGAGGAGCAACACAGCGACACGUUAACCCGACUGCUGAAGUUCCCGUAUGAACUGAGCAACUCUAAAAAUCCAAGGAAAAGCUGAGUGUAUUUUAUUUAAAGCUCAGAUGGAACUUGAUGGACUAACAUGCAGGCUGCAUUCAGGACUUUGUCACACUGGUAUAUGAAGAGUGGUAACAAGAGAAAUUGUGCACACACAAUGUGUCACUUUAUGCUUGCUCUUCUCCAGCCUCUGGUGUCACUUUGUAGUAAUUAGUCUUACUAUUGUCUUAUUUGUUUGUUGUGAUUUAGGGUGUGUGCGCACAAGCAGAGGUUUUUGUUUGUAACUGUAACCUCGUUUUCAGAGCCUGGUUUAACAUUUAAUGGUCGUGAAAUAUGUCAGACUUUUUCCUCUACUUAAACAGCUAAGAGCAUUUGAACAGAGUGGAGAAAAAGGUGUGCAUUAAGGAUUUUGAACUAUGAUGUUUAAGUGUUGUCACUGCUGAGGAUCCUUAUUCACUACGCUGCUGUUUACAGUUUAACUUUUCAUCAGAACAAGCACUUCUAAUUGUACUUUGCUCCUCACUGACAAAACAAGUCCAGUAAAUGCACUUUUAUCUUCAUGUUUGGGACAGUAAUCUGUCUUAAUUUAUUUUGUGUUUUAGUUAUCAUAUGGGGAAAAGUUCUGUGGUUAUCUAUCUGUCCUGUUCGCAUAAAGCCAAAAUUCAGGAACAUCUUCUCUAGAUCUGUUCAGUUUUAUUCAUGUGGCACGACUUAAACAGUCAAGUAUGUUAUAUUGUAAGGUAAAGACCCCAAAGAGUUAAUCUCGGACAAAUGUUCACACAAAUGUGAAUUGCAUUCACUUCAUUAAUGAAGUGAAU
Molecule: long non-coding RNA, 1265 nt
Organism: Oreochromis niloticus (Nile tilapia)
Lineage: Eukaryota; Metazoa; Chordata; Actinopteri; Cichliformes; Cichlidae
Exons: 3
Source: RefSeq, a predicted model, not a curated record